RNAcentral lists this ribosomal RNA (254 nucleotides) under uncultured bacterium. RNAcentral describes it as "partial 16S ribosomal RNA". It matches the Rfam family "Bacterial small subunit ribosomal RNA", at positions 524 to 776 of the family's 1533-position model. The record is from RNAcentral.
UACGGGGGGGGCAAGCGUUGUUCGGAAUUACUGGGCGUAAAGGGCUCGUAGGCGGCCAACUAAGUCAGACGUGAAAUCCCUCGGCUUAACCGGAGAACUGCGUCUGAUACUGGAUGGCUUGAGAUUGGGAGAGGGAUGCGGAAUUCCAGGUGUAGCGGUGGAAUGCGUAGAGAUCAGGUGGAACACCGAUGGCGAAGGCAGCACUCUGGCCGAGUUACUGACGCUGAGGCGCGAAAGCUGGGGGAGCGAACGGG